AACGAACGCUGGCGGCAUGCCUAACACAUGCAAGUCGAACGAGACCUUCGGGUCUAGUGGCGCACGGGCGCGUAACGCGUGGGAACCUGCCUUUAGGUUCGGAAUAACUCAGAGAAAUUUGAGCUAAUACCGGAUGAUGUCUUCGGACCAAAGAUUUAUCGCCUUUAGAUGGGCCCGCGUUGGAUUAGCUAGUUGGUGGGGUAAAGGCCUACCAAGGCGACGAUCCAUAGCUGGUCUGAGAGGAUGAUCAGCCACACUGGGACUGAGACACGGCCCAGACUCCAACGGGGGGCAGCAGGGGGGAAUAGUGGACAAGGGGGGAAGGCCUGAACCAGCAAUGCCGGGUGAGGGAGGAAGGCCUGAGGGUUUAAAAGCUUUUUUACCCGAGAUGAUAAUGACAGUAUCGGGAGAAUAAGCCCCGGCUAACUCCG
Molecule: ribosomal RNA, 431 nt
Filed under: uncultured bacterium
Lineage: Bacteria
Description: partial 16S ribosomal RNA
Rfam family: Bacterial small subunit ribosomal RNA
Source: RNAcentral